This is a long non-coding RNA of Urocitellus parryii (Arctic ground squirrel), 477 nucleotides long. The record is from Ensembl. Lineage: Eukaryota; Metazoa; Chordata; Mammalia; Rodentia; Sciuridae.
GUGAAGGUGAACUGGUGGUAUGCAUGCAGUACCUGCAAGUUCAUUCUCUGAUGGAUAGUCAGCCAUGUCUUCCCAGAGCAAUUACCAGGUUACAUAGCAACAAAAAAAGGAUUUCUAGCCCCAGAGGCUUAGUUCCAAAGCAGUUCAAAAGUCCCAGCUGGCCUUUUCUCAGCUGUUCCUUCUUCAGGAUGAAAGGUCUGUUCUCCCUAAAAACAGUGCUUAAAGGUGGAAUGUUUGGCAGAGCAGUCUCAGGACAAAGGAAGAGCAUAGCAGAGGUUAUUUCUUUAGAAGAGACCAGAAAUAACACUGAGAUGAACACAUUUUCCAGAGUUCUCUUGUGAACGUACCAUUCAGUUAAGGAAUGCUGAGAAAACAUUACUUCAAAGUGCUUUCAAAAAUAUGAAGUUAGACUGUGUAUACAACCAGAGAUAUGAAAUUGUGCUCUAUAUAUGUAAUAAGAAUUGUAAUGYAUUCCGC